Molecule: ribosomal RNA, 460 nt
Filed under: uncultured bacterium
Lineage: Bacteria
Description: partial 16S ribosomal RNA
Rfam family: Bacterial small subunit ribosomal RNA
Source: RNAcentral
CCUACGUGUGGCAGCAGUGAGGAAUAUUGGUCAAUGGGCGUAAGCCUGAACCAGCCAAGUCGCGUGCGGGAUGAAGGUUCUAUGGAUCGUAAACCUCUUUUAUAAGGGAAUAAAGUGUGGGACGUGUCCUAUUUUGUAUGUACCUUAUGAAUAAGGAUCGGCUAACUCCGUGCCAGCAGCCGCGGUAAUACGGAGGAUCCGAGCGUUAUCCGGAUUGAUUGGGUUUAACGGGUGCGUAGGCGGCCUUUUAAGUCAGCGGUGAAAGUCUGUGGCUCAACCAUAGAAUUGCCGUUGAAACUGGGGGGCUUGAGUAUGUUUGAGGCAGGCGGAAGGCGUGGUGUAGCGGGGAAAUGCUUAGAUAUCACGCAGAACCCCGAUGGCGAAGGCAGCCUGCCAAGCCAUGACUGACGCUGAUGCACGAAAGCGUGGGGAUCAAACAGGAUUAGAGACCCCGGUAGUC